UCUUACUAAAGGUCACAUGGUGCUACAUGCAGAGAAGAAGGAUAAAGUGUCAGAAAGGGAGAGAGAGUGAGAGGAGGUGCCAUGUUUCACGGAGUGUAAGGGAGGACUUCUCUGAAGCUAAACUUCAAAGUGAGAUCUGAAGACAGCAAGGAGACAUCUGGAUCCCAGGGUUCAAUCAAGAAAUUCAAGAAAAUGAAGUGAAUCCUGCAAAGGAGGCCAAGAACCAGCCCAUGAAGUUGAGAACCAAGAGAUGGUGGUCUUGGACAUCAAAAGAAGAGAGGCCACAGAGAAGAAGGAGUGAUCUGACCACUGCAUCGAAUGCUGCUGGGAGGUGGAGGAGGAUGAGCACUGAGAAGUGACUGCCAUGCAUCAGUUUGCAGCAUGAUAACCAUUGGUGGCUCUGACGGGAGUGGAGUGAUGGGGCAGAAACCUAACUGAAUGAGUUUAAGAAAUAAGGCAUAGCACCCAUCACACUGACUGAGUCAUCCGGAAAAUGUGAGAAAUCACUUAAUAAAGAGCUGCCCUGGGGAAAUGGACAGCUGGAUGCAGAAAGACACAUGGACGCACAUG
RNAcentral lists this long non-coding RNA (570 nucleotides) under Homo sapiens (human). Its description in RNAcentral is "HSALNT0031132". The record is from RNAcentral. Lineage: Eukaryota; Metazoa; Chordata; Mammalia; Primates; Hominidae.